AGACGUCUACAUUAGAUACCCCCGUAGUCCCAGCCGUAAACUAUGCGCGUUAGGUGUAUCGGUGACCACGAGUUACCGAGGUGCCGAAGGGAAACCGUGAAACGUGCCGCUGGGAAGUACGGUCGCAAGGCUAGAAACUUAAAGGAAUUGGCGGGGAGCACCACAACAGGUGGAGCCUGCGGUUUAAUUGGACUCAACGCCGGGAAGCUCACCGGAUAGGACAGCAGAAUGAUUGCCGGGCUGAAGACCCUGCAUGACUAGCUG
This 264-nucleotide ribosomal RNA is filed under the name uncultured archaeon. RNAcentral describes it as "partial 16S ribosomal RNA". It matches the Rfam family "Archaeal small subunit ribosomal RNA", at positions 714 to 982 of the family's 1478-position model. The record is from RNAcentral.